This 204-nucleotide unclassified non-coding RNA is filed under the name soil metagenome. RNAcentral describes it as "partial contains 5.8S ribosomal RNA, internal transcribed spacer 2, and large subunit ribosomal RNA". The record is from RNAcentral.
AACUGAUACUACCUGCGGGAACCUGCGGAGGGAUCAUUACCGAGUUUACAAAACUCCCCACCCUUGUUUACUGUCUGUUGCUUCGGCGAGACGAUUGGAAUCAACCACUGGCUUAUUGCUGGUGUGUGCUCGCCGGAGGUUUUCACGCGAAUAUUUGCUGUCAGAGUUUUGACGAAUUUUAAAAACUUUCAACAAUGGAUCUCU